UACAGAGGGUGCAAGCGUUAUUCGGAAUUAUUGGGCGUAAAGCGCAUGUAGGUGGUUAGAUAAGUCUGAUGUGAAAUCCCCGGACUCAAUUCGGGAAGUGCAUUGGAUACUGUUUGACUGGAGUAUGGGAGAGGUAAGCGGAAUUCCAGGUGUAGAGGUGAAAUUCGUAGAUAUCUGGAGGAACAACAGAGGCGAAGGCGGCUUACUGGACCAUUACUGACACUGAGAUGCGAAAGCGUGGGGAGCAAACAGG
This 253-nucleotide ribosomal RNA is filed under the name uncultured bacterium. RNAcentral describes it as "partial 16S ribosomal RNA". It matches the Rfam family "Bacterial small subunit ribosomal RNA", at positions 524 to 776 of the family's 1533-position model. The record is from RNAcentral.